Molecule: long non-coding RNA, 1124 nt
Filed under: Mus musculus (house mouse)
Lineage: Eukaryota; Metazoa; Chordata; Mammalia; Rodentia; Muridae
Description: long non-coding RNA chr8:88592494-88593618
Source: RNAcentral
AGACCCUCAAGAGCCCCAGAGGACAACAGCUGCUACCUCUCAGUGUUAUCUGGUUCAACUUUGCCCUUAAUUGAUUGUAACACGCUACAGGAGAUUUCAGUGGACUGCCAUUGCACCCUCUCUCCCCUUGUGUUCUGACACCUCAACCUAGACACCUUAGCUGUGUUUCCGGGAGUUACCGCCUCCCCUAUCUAAAGGGAACUAGCCCUUGGCCCAAGCCAGCCCUGUGCUUUCUUUUGUCCUUUGCCAUGCACAGUGUGGAAGCGCCCUCUCUUCCUGUGCCCCCGUUGGCUUUGGAAGGAUGCACCUGUGUUUAAGGAUUGUCCUUGUAGCCAGCCUUCUCAGUUUGGGAACAACUACAGAGAGAAGCAGCCACAUUAAAAAAAAAAAAAAAGUAGUGUGGUUUCCCAAGAUGGCACCAUUGUGUGACGGAGGGUGUGAAACCUGAGUUUGCCGUCAGCAAAUGGUUUGUGGCUCUCUAGCCGCCUUUGUAGCUAGGUAGAUGCUGCCUGUCCAUGUCUCUGUAUCUUUCUAUAAAUACACUCUCAGGUAUCCUUUCUGGUGUGCAGAAAUCACUGCCCUGCUCUAUGGAAGCUCCUGCAACCCAGAUGUACCCGUGUGGUUCCCAAAGGCUGCCCGUCCAUCAGAUGAAAACAGCCACCUCCGUCUCACUUCCUGGGGUCUGAAGUCUGUGGUUUUGGAGAGACCUGCUUGGGUAGAGAGACUUAGGGUGGAAUGGGGGUAGCCACUGAGCAGCAUCCUUGACAGAAUAGGUUUUUAUCAGACAAGGGUCCAGGGGACCAAAAAAGGUUUACUGUCAAAUAGUUGGGGCCCCAACAAAACUCAGAUUACACUCCCAGGUUUAAUUAUUUGAGGAGGGCUCAACGGGGAUGGCUGCCAACACUGGAGCAAAGACUGGGAGGCAGCAGAACCCAGACCAUCACUGAGCUACCACUGUACCUAGCUCCAUACAUGAAGGGUGAAGAUCGAGAGGCACCUAGGAGCCAUGGCAUUCAUUCAGAGAGCAUAGCAGGCUGUGUGAAUGAAUGAAUGAAUGAAUGAAUGAAUGAAUGAAUGAAUGAAUAAAUGAAUUUAUCCAGGGGAUGAAUGCCCCUAUACCCUCC